Molecule: long non-coding RNA, 513 nt
Organism: Seriola dumerili (greater amberjack)
Lineage: Eukaryota; Metazoa; Chordata; Actinopteri; Carangiformes; Carangidae
Exons: 3
Source: RefSeq, a predicted model, not a curated record
UGCUAUUCUGGGAAGUGGCGCUUGGAAUAACCCCCGUGUGCGUAUGAGUGUGUGUGUGCGUGUGUAUGUGUCUCCUGAUUUCACCCUCACACACGCACACAUACACACUCACAACACAGUGAGACGCACACAUUGACUGUCUGUCUGACUGCAGUAGUGGAGCUCCGGCGGCACAAAUCCGGUCGGAAAGGAUUCCUUCCAUUUUUACGCGUAACUUUUCCUCCGCCGCGCCGCGACGUUUCCACCGCUGCUCCUCGGCUCUUGUGGAUUUCUAACAACCAGCCUCCCCGACUUGGUUCUAACGGACAAACCAGCGAGGUGUCAAGCCCGCCCGGAAUCGGAUCUCCUGUCACCGGGUUUGCUUGUUGUCAUUUUCGCACGGAGACGGAGACGCGCAGCCGGAGCGCAGACAGAAGGGACUGUGACCAGUUGUGGACUUGCUAAACUGGACCAGGGAACAAACAGUUACACCAGGGUGAAGAGGAAGAAACUGUGAAGCUGCGUGAUGCCAAA